Molecule: non-coding RNA, 104 nt
Organism: Prototheca wickerhamii
Lineage: Eukaryota; Viridiplantae; Chlorophyta; Trebouxiophyceae; Chlorellales; Chlorellaceae
Source: the annotation of a GenBank genome assembly
GCCCCUGUAGCGCAGUGGAUAGCGCGUGAAUUUCCUACUAGCUACCCGUCCACGGUUAAAGUGGAACCAGUUCAAGGUCCCAGGUUCGAAUCCUGGCUGGGGUG